UACGAAGGGGGCUAGCGUUGUUCGGAAUUACUGGGCGUAAAGCGUAUGCAGGCGGACUUUUAAGUCGGGGGUGAAAUCCCGAGGCUCAACCUCGGAACUGCCUUCGAUACUGAAAGUCUUGAGUCCGGGAGAGGUGAGUGGAACUGCGAGUGUAGAGGUGAAAUUCGUAGAUAUUCGCAAGAACACCAGUGGCGAAGGCGGCUCACUGGCCCGGUACUGACGCUGAGAUACGGAAGCGUGGGGAGCGGACAGG
This 253-nucleotide ribosomal RNA is filed under the name uncultured bacterium. Its description in RNAcentral is "partial 16S ribosomal RNA". It matches the Rfam family "Bacterial small subunit ribosomal RNA", at positions 524 to 776 of the family's 1533-position model. The record is from RNAcentral.